RNAcentral lists this ribosomal RNA (1000 nucleotides) under Bacillus sp. JBP-10. RNAcentral's name for it is "bacterial SSU rRNA". It matches the Rfam family "Bacterial small subunit ribosomal RNA", at positions 497 to 1475 of the family's 1533-position model. Lineage: Bacteria; Bacillati; Bacillota; Bacilli; Caryophanales; Bacillaceae. The record is from RNAcentral.
CUAACUACGUUAGCUAGCAGCCCGCGGUAAGUAUCGUAGGUGGUAAAGUCGUUAUUCCAGACAUCAUUGGGCCGUCAGAGUCGCGCGCAGGCCGCUUCCUUUAAGUCUGAUGUUGAAAGCCUCACGGCUCAACUGUGCAGGGUCAUUGGAAAAUGCGGUACUUGAGUGCAGAAGAGGAAAGCGGAAUUUCACGUGUAGCGGUGAAAUGCGUAGAGAUGUGGAGGCACACCAGUGGCGCAGGCGUCCUUCUGGUCUGUAACUGACUCUGAGUCGCGAAAGCGUGGGGAGCAAACAGUAUUAGAUACCGUGGUAGUACAUGUCGUAACAGAUGAGUGCUAAGUGUUAGAGGGUUUCCUCCUUUUAGUCAUGCAGCUACCGCAUUAAGCACUCCGCCUGGGGAGUACGGCCGCAGGCUUGAAACUCAAAGGAAUUGACGCGGGCCCGCACAAGCGGUGGACCAUGUGGUUUAAUUAGAAGCAACGCGAAGAUCCUUCCCAGGUCUUGACAUCCUAUGUCACUCUUAGAGAUAGGACGUUCCCCUUCGGGGGACAGAGAGACAGGUGGUGCAUGGUUGUCGUCAGCUCGUGUAGUGAGAUGUUGGGUUAAGUCCCGCAACGAGCGCAACCCUUGUUCUUAGUUGCCAGCAUUCAGUUGGGCACUCUAAGGAGACUGCCGGUGACAAGCCGGAGGAAGGUGGGGAUGACGUCAAAUCAUCAUGCCCCUUAUGACCUGGGCUACACACGUGCUACAAUGGAUGGUACAAAGGGCUGCGAGACCGCGAGGUUUAGCCAAUCCCAUAAAACCAUUCUCAGUUCGGAUUGUAGACUGCAACUCCCCUACAUGAAGCCGGAAUCGCUAGUAAUCGCGGAUCAGCAUGCCGCGGUGAAUACGUUCCCGGGCCUUGUACCCCCCGCCCGUCACACCCCGAGAGUUUGUAACACCGGAAGUCGGUGGGGUAACUGUAAGGAGCUCACACGUACUAAAAGGUGGCCAAAAUGUC